Molecule: long non-coding RNA, 1071 nt
Filed under: Androctonus crassicauda
Lineage: Eukaryota; Metazoa; Arthropoda; Arachnida; Scorpiones; Buthidae
Source: RNAcentral
AUCGAGAAAAAAUUGUUAAAAUCUGAAAAUCUAUCAUGUUUUUCGUAUUUCUGUCGUAUUUGUCAAAAAUUGGAUUUUACGAUUAUAAUUUAAUAAUUUUUUAAUUAACCCUUUAAUUCCAAUUUAAUCCGAAUCAAAUAAUAAUUUUGUGAUCUUUGCAGCCCCAAAAAUUCAAGAAUACUUUGUCCGAAUUUGUCCGACUUGCUCUAUCGUGUUACACACUUCCUUCUGUGUCUACCCUUAUUUCUCGUUUACAGAUAACUUGGCCCACUAAAUUAUAAUUUGAGAAUGUUUGGCCCCUUCUAAAUAAUAUGAUUAUGCUGUUUUCCACACACAAAAUCCGAUAAAAAAGUUUUAUUAUAUAAGUUUUUCCAUUUAGAGUAACACACAACCAAUACUACGUUUGACCUUGACUGUCAAAGCAGAAGUCGGCUCUCUAGAUUUAUAGCGGGAACAACGUAUUUCCUCAAUCAGCUGAUCGUUUGUUUACAUUAUAAUUUAUAUUUUAUAACACAAAAAUUUAUAUAAUAAAGUAAUUUUUAUGUUAUCUGCAAUCGAUACAAAUAAUUAGUAGGCCUUUUACGUCACAAGUUUUCAAUUUUUAUAUUUUUUACCAUAUUUGGUGAAAAACUUUCCCCAGCUUUCGAUGUUGUUCAUUUGGUUUGGAUUUCGUCAUUUAUAGGGGUCAUAAAUUUAGUUCGAAGUUCGGAAUGCUUACCAUAUAUGGCAAACAUACGGGACCUCUAAUUUUUUCACGUCAGCAGUAACGUAGUAGUCCUCUUUCAGACAAUCAUUUUUACUUUGGAUAUUCUGCAGUGUACAUCUACAUCUGAGCUAUGUCAGACGACCAGGUACUGUGUUGUUCUAGGCAGUUGACCCGUCCUCGUAAACUGCCUAGAAUAUCGGAGGAGGAACUUGAGCAAUUUAUUCUUUCUGAUUCGGAAGACGGCAUCAGUGUAUAUGAGUUUCAUGAUGAUGAUGGUGAUGAUUAUUAUAUAGAGGAAGAGUCUGAAGAGACAGAUGGGAACACUUGGAAGAGAUACAGAAGUCGGGACGGAGAUUUGAAACGUU